RNAcentral lists this ribosomal RNA (2786 nucleotides) under Escherichia coli. RNAcentral describes it as "bacterial LSU rRNA". It matches the Rfam family "Bacterial large subunit ribosomal RNA". The record is from RNAcentral. Lineage: Bacteria; Pseudomonadati; Pseudomonadota; Gammaproteobacteria; Enterobacterales; Enterobacteriaceae.
AGCGUACACGGUGGAUGCCCUGGCAGUCAGAGGCGAUGAAGGACGUGCUAAUCUGCGAUAAGCGUCGGUAAGGUGAUAUGAACCGUUAUAACCGGCGAUUUCCGAAUGGGGAAACCCAGUGUGAUUCGUCACACUAUCAUUAACUGAAUCCAUAGGUUAAUGAGGCGAACCGGGGGAACUGAAACAUCUAAGUACCCCGAGGAAAAGAAAUCAACCGAGAUUCCCCCAGUAGCGGCGAGCGAACGGGGAGGAGCCCAGAGCCUGAAUCAGUGUGUGUGUUAGUGGAAGCGUCUGGAAAGGCGCGCGAUACAGGGUGACAGCCCCGUACACAAAAAUGCACAUACUGUGAGCUCGAUGAGUAGGGCGGGACACGUGGUAUCCUGUCUGAAUAUGGGGGGACCAUCCUCCAAGGCUAAAUACUCCUGACUGACCGAUAGUGAACCAGUACCGUGAGGGAAAGGCGAAAAGAACCCCGGCGAGGGGAGUGAAAAAGAACCUGAAACCGUGUACGUACAAGCAGUGGGAGCCUCUUUUAUGGGGUGACUGCGUACCUUUUGUAUAAUGGGUCAGCGACUUAUAUUCUGUAGCAAGGUUAACCGAAUAGGGGAGCCGAAGGGAAACCGAGUCUUAACUGGGCGUUAAGUUGCAGGGUAUAGACCCGAAACCCGGUGAUCUAGCCAUGGGCAGGUUGAAGGUUGGGUAACACUAACUGGAGGACCGAACCGACUAAUGUUGAAAAAUUAGCGGAUGACUUGUGGCUGGGGGUGAAAGGCCAAUCAAACCGGGAGAUAGCUGGUUCUCCCCGAAAGCUAUUUAGGUAGCGCCUCGUGAAUUCAUCUCCGGGGGUAGAGCACUGUUUCGGCAAGGGGGUCAUCCCGACUUACCAACCCGAUGCAAACUGCGAAUACCGGAGAAUGUUAUCACGGGAGACACACGGCGGGUGCUAACGUCCGUCGUGAAGAGGGAAACAACCCAGACCGCCAGCUAAGGUCCCAAAGUCAUGGUUAAGUGGGAAACGAUGUGGGAAGGCCCAGACAGCCAGGAUGUUGGCUUAGAAGCAGCCAUCAUUUAAAGAAAGCGUAAUAGCUCACUGGUCGAGUCGGCCUGCGCGGAAGAUGUAACGGGGCUAAACCAUGCACCGAAGCUGCGGCAGCGACACUAUGUGUUGUUGGGUAGGGGAGCGUUCUGUAAGCCUGUGAAGGUGUGCUGUGAGGCAUGCUGGAGGUAUCAGAAGUGCGAAUGCUGACAUAAGUAACGAUAAAGCGGGUGAAAAGCCCGCUCGCCGGAAGACCAAGGGUUCCUGUCCAACGUUAAUCGGGGCAGGGUGAGUCGACCCCUAAGGCGAGGCCGAAAGGCGUAGUCGAUGGGAAACAGGUUAAUAUUCCUGUACUUGGUGUUACUGCGAAGGGGGGACGGAGAAGGCUAUGUUGGCCGGGCGACGGUUGUCCCGGUUUAAGCGUGUAGGCUGGUUUUCCAGGCAAAUCCGGAAAAUCAAGGCUGAGGCGUGAUGACGAGGCACUACGGUGCUGAAGCAACAAAUGCCCUGCUUCCAGGAAAAGCCUCUAAGCAUCAGGUAACAUCAAAUCGUACCCCAAACCGACACAGGUGGUCAGGUAGAGAAUACCAAGGCGCUUGAGAGAACUCGGGUGAAGGAACUAGGCAAAAUGGUGCCGUAACUUCGGGAGAAGGCACGCUGAUAUGUAGGUGAAGCGACUUGCUCGUGGAGCUGAAAUCAGUCGAAGAUACCAGCUGGCUGCAACUGUUUAUUAAAAACACAGCACUGUGCAAACACGAAAGUGGACGUAUACGGUGUGACGCCUGCCCGGUGCCGGAAGGUUAAUUGAUGGGGUCAGCGCAAGCGAAGCUCUUGAUCGAAGCCCCGGUAAACGGCGGCCGUAACUAUAACGGUCCUAAGGUAGCGAAAUUCCUUGUCGGGUAAGUUCCGACCUGCACGAAUGGCGUAAUGAUGGCCAGGCUGUCUCCACCCGAGACUCAGUGAAAUUGAACUCGCUGUGAAGAUGCAGUGUACCCGCGGCAAGACGGAAAGACCCCGUGAACCUUUACUAUAGCUUGACACUGAACAUUGAGCCUUGAUGUGUAGGAUAGGUGGGAGGCUUAGAAGUGUGGACGCCAGUCUGCAUGGAGCCGACCUUGAAAUACCACCCUUUAAUGUUUGAUGUUCUAACGUUGACCCGUGAUCCGGGUUGCGGACAGUGUCUGGUGGGUAGUUUGACUGGGGCGGUCUCCUCCUAAAGAGUAACGGAGGAGCACGAAGGUUGGCUAAUCCUGGUCGGACAUCAGGAGGUUAGUGCAAUGGCAUAAGCCAGCUUGACUGCGAGCGUGACGGCGCGAGCAGGUGCGAAAGCAGGUCAUAGUGAUCCGGUGGUUCUGAAUGGAAGGGCCAUCGCUCAACGGAUAAAAGGUACUCCGGGGAUAACAGGCUGAUACCGCCCAAGAGUUCAUAUCGACGGCGGUGUUUGGCACCUCGAUGUCGGCUCAUCACAUCCUGGGGCUGAAGUAGGUCCCAAGGGUAUGGCUGUUCGCCAUUUAAAGUGGUACGCGAGCUGGGUUUAGAACGUCGUGAGACAGUUCGGUCCCUAUCUGCCGUGGGCGCUGGAGAACUGAGGGGGGCUGCUCCUAGUACGAGAGGACCGGAGUGGACGCAUCACUGGUGUUCGGGUUGUCAUGCCAAUGGCACUGCCCGGUAGCUAAAUGCGGAAGAGAUAAGUGCUGAAAGCAUCUAAGCACGAAACUUGCCCCGAGAUGAGUUCUCCCUGACUCCUUGA